GCCUUUGUUGUGUAGUGGUCAGCACCCUCGACGGUUAUUCAAGAGAUUCGUGGUUCGAGUCCCGGCAAAGGCA
This 73-nucleotide transfer RNA is filed under the name Stegodyphus mimosarum. It matches the Rfam family "tRNA". From Rfam's summary of the family: Transfer RNA (tRNA) molecules are approximately 80 nucleotides in length. Their secondary structure includes four short double-helical elements and three loops (D, anti-codon, and T loops). The record is from Rfam by way of RNAcentral. Lineage: Eukaryota; Metazoa; Arthropoda; Arachnida; Araneae; Eresidae.